RNAcentral lists this unclassified non-coding RNA (259 nucleotides) under uncultured fungus. RNAcentral's name for it is "partial contains small subunit ribosomal RNA, internal transcribed spacer 1, and 5.8S ribosomal RNA". The stretch from base 1 to 73 matches the Rfam family "Eukaryotic small subunit ribosomal RNA", at positions 1759 to 1831 of the family's 1831-position model. The record is from RNAcentral. Lineage: Eukaryota; Fungi.
ACAAACUUGGUCAUUUAGAGGAAGUAAAAGUCGUAACAAGGUUUCCGUAGGUGAACCUGCGGAAGGAUCAUUAAUGAAUUUUAGGACGUUCUUUUUAGAAGUCCGACCAUUUCAUUUUCUUACACUGUGCACACACUUCUUUUUACACACACUUUUAACACAUUAGUAUAAGAAUGUAAUAGUCUCUUAAUUGAGCAUAAACAAAAAUAAAACUUUCAGCAACGGAUCUCUUGGCUCUCGCAUCGAUGAAGAACGCAGC